This 250-nucleotide ribosomal RNA is filed under the name uncultured prokaryote. RNAcentral's name for it is "partial 16S ribosomal RNA". It matches the Rfam family "Bacterial small subunit ribosomal RNA", at positions 524 to 774 of the family's 1533-position model. The record is from RNAcentral.
UACGGAGGAUGCGAGCGUUACCCGGAUUUAUUGGGUGUAAAGGGUGCGUAGGCGGUUUAAUAAGUCUGUGGUAUAAGCCCGAAGCUUAACUUCGGUUCGCCACAGAAACUGUUUAACUUGAGUAUGGUAGAGGCAAGUGGAAUUUCUAGUGUAGCGGUUAAAUGCGUAGAUAUUAGAAGGAACACCAGUGGCGAAGGCGACUUGCUGGACCAUUACUGACGCUGAGGCACGAAAGCGUGGGGGGCAAAUA